AAACCAACAGGGAUUGCCCUAGUAACGGCGAGUGAAGCGGCAACAGCUCAAAUUUGAAAGCUGGCCUUCGGGUCCGCAUUGUAAUUUGUAGAGGAUGCUUUGGGUGAAACGCCAGUCUAAGUUCCUUGGAACAGGACGUCAUAGAGGGUGAGAAUCCCGUAUGUGACUGGAAAUGUUAACCUAUGUAAAGCUCCUUCGACGAGUCGAGUUGUUUGGGAAUGCAGCUCUAAAUGGGAGGUAAAUUUCUUCUAAAGCUAAAUAUUGGCGAGAGACCGAUAGCGCACAAGUAGAGUGAUCGAAAGAUGAAAAGCACUUUGGAAAGAGAGUUAAAAAGCACGUGAAAUUGUUGAAAGGGAAGCGCUUGCAAUCAGACUUGUUUAAACUGUUCGGCCGGUCUUCUGACCGGUUUACUCAGUUUGGACAGGCCAGCAUCAGUUUCGGCGGCCGGAUAAAGGCUCUGGGAAUGUGGCCUCCACUUCGGUGGAGGUGUUAUAGCCCAGGGUGUAAUACGGCCAGCCGGGACUGAGGUCCGCGCUUCGGCUAGGAUGCUGGCGUAAUGGUUGUAAGCGAC
Molecule: ribosomal RNA, 571 nt
Filed under: uncultured fungus
Lineage: Eukaryota; Fungi
Description: LSU rRNA
Rfam family: Eukaryotic large subunit ribosomal RNA
Source: RNAcentral